CGCGGGGUGGAGCAGUCCGGUAGCUCGUUGGGCUCAUAACCCAAAGGUCAUAGGUUCAAAUCCUGUCCCCGCAA
RNAcentral lists this transfer RNA (74 nucleotides) under Fibrobacterota bacterium. RNAcentral's name for it is "Fibrobacteres bacterium tRNA-Met". It matches the Rfam family "tRNA". Rfam says of the family: Transfer RNA (tRNA) molecules are approximately 80 nucleotides in length. Their secondary structure includes four short double-helical elements and three loops (D, anti-codon, and T loops). Lineage: Bacteria; Pseudomonadati; Fibrobacterota. RNAcentral also lists the same sequence under 1 other name. The record is from RNAcentral.